UACGUAGGGGGCGAGCGUUAUCCGGAAUUACUGGGCAUAAAGGGCGUGUAGGCGGUAGAUUAAGUCAGAUGUUAAAUUUUACGGCUCAACCGUAGAGUGCAUUUGAAACUGGACUACUAGAGAACAAGAGAGGUAAGCGGAACUCACAGUGUAGCGGUGAAAUGCGUAGAUAUUGUGAGGAACACCAGUUGCGAAGGCUGCUUACUGGCUUGGUACUGACGCUGAGGCGCGAAAGCAUGGGUAGCGAACGGG
Molecule: ribosomal RNA, 252 nt
Filed under: uncultured bacterium
Lineage: Bacteria
Description: partial 16S ribosomal RNA
Rfam family: Bacterial small subunit ribosomal RNA
Source: RNAcentral